ACGAACGCUGGCGGCGUGCUUAACACAUGCAAGUCGCACGGAAAGGCCCUGCUUUUGUGGGGUGCUCGAGUGGCGAACGGGUGAGUAACACGUGAGUAACCUGCCCUUGACUUUGGGAUAACUUCAGGAAACUGGGGCUAAUACCGGAUAGGAGCUCCUGCUGCAUGGUGGGGGUUGGAAAGUUUCGGCGGUUGGGGAUGGACUCGCGGCUUAUCAGCUUGUUGGUGGGGUAGUGGCUUACCAAGGCUUUGACGGGUAGCCGGCCUGAGAGGGUGACCGGUCACAUUGGGACUGAGAUACGGCCCAGACUCCUACGGGAGGCAGCAGUGGGGAAUAUUGCACAAUGGGCGGAAGCCUGAUGCAGCAACGCCGCGUGCGGGAUGACGGCCUUCGGGUUGUAAACCGCUUUCGCCUGUGACGAAGCGUGAGUGACGGUAAUGGGUAAAGAAGCACCGGCUAACUACGUG
RNAcentral lists this ribosomal RNA (467 nucleotides) under uncultured bacterium. RNAcentral describes it as "partial 16S ribosomal RNA". It matches the Rfam family "Bacterial small subunit ribosomal RNA", at positions 29 to 507 of the family's 1533-position model. The record is from RNAcentral.